GACGAACGCUGGCGGCGUGCUUAACACAUGCAAGUCGAACGGAAAGGCCCUGCUUUUGUGGGGUGCUCGAGUGGCGAACGGGUGAGUAACACGUGAGUAACCUGCCCUUGACUUUGGGAUAACUUCAGGAAACUGGGGCUAAUACCGGAUAGGAGCUCCUGCUGCAUGGUGGGGGUUGGAAAGUUUCGGCGGUUGGGGAUGGACUCGCGGCUUAUCAGCUUGUUGGUGGGGUAGUGGCUUACCAAGGCUUUGACGGGUAGCCGGCCUGAGAGGGUGACCGGCCACAAUGGGACUGAGAUACGGCCCAGACUCCUACGGGAGGCAGCAGUGGAGAAUAUUGCACAAUGGGCGGGAGCCUGAUGCAGCAACGCCGCGUGCGGGAUGACGGCCUUCGGGUUGUAAACCGCUUUCGCCUGUGACGAAGCGUGAGUGACGGUAAUGGGUAAAGAAGCACCGGCUAACUACGUG
RNAcentral lists this ribosomal RNA (468 nucleotides) under uncultured bacterium. Its description in RNAcentral is "partial 16S ribosomal RNA". It matches the Rfam family "Bacterial small subunit ribosomal RNA", at positions 28 to 507 of the family's 1533-position model. The record is from RNAcentral.